UACAUGGGGUGCAAACGUUGCUCGGAAUCAUUGGGCGUAAAGCGCGCGUAGGCGGUUACUUAAGUCGAAUGUGAAAGCCCUCGGCUUAACUGAGGAAGUGCAUCCGAAACUGAGUAGCUAGAGUACGAAAGAGGGUCGCGGAAUUCCCGGUGUAGAGGUGAAAUUCGUAGAUAUCGGGAGGAACACCGGUGGCGAAGGCGGAGACCUGGGGAGAUAUUGACGCUGAGGUGCGAAAGCGUGGGGAGCAAACAGG
RNAcentral lists this ribosomal RNA (253 nucleotides) under uncultured bacterium. Its description in RNAcentral is "partial 16S ribosomal RNA". It matches the Rfam family "Bacterial small subunit ribosomal RNA", at positions 524 to 776 of the family's 1533-position model. The record is from RNAcentral.